Molecule: ribosomal RNA, 460 nt
Filed under: uncultured bacterium
Lineage: Bacteria
Description: partial 16S ribosomal RNA
Rfam family: Bacterial small subunit ribosomal RNA
Source: RNAcentral
CCUACGGGUGACAGCAGUGAGGAAUAUUGGUCAAUGGGCGAGAGCCUGAUCCAGCCAAGUCGCGUGAAGGAUGACGGCCCUACGGGUUGUAAACUUCUUCUGCCAGGGAGCAAUUGAGUCCACGUGUGGGCUUAGCGAGAGUUACUGACGUAAAAGCAUCGGCUAACUCCGUGCCAGCAGCCGCGGUAAUACGGGGGAUGCGAGCGUUAUCCGGAUUUAUUGGGUUUACAGGUUGCGUAGGCGGAAUCUCAGGUCAGCGGGAAAGAUUCGGGGCUCAACCCCGUCGUGCCGUUGAAACUGAUGGUCUUGAGUGGGCGAGAGGUAAGCGGAAUGCGUGGUGUAGCGGUGAAAUGCGUAGAUAUCACGCAGAACUCCGGUGGCGAAGGCAGCAUACCGGCGCCCAACUGACGCUGAAGCACGAAAGCGUGGGUAGCGAACAGGAUUAGAUACCCGAGUAGUC